RNAcentral lists this ribosomal RNA (431 nucleotides) under uncultured bacterium. RNAcentral describes it as "partial 16S ribosomal RNA". It matches the Rfam family "Bacterial small subunit ribosomal RNA", at positions 29 to 506 of the family's 1533-position model. The record is from RNAcentral.
ACGCACGCUGGCGGCAUGCCUAACACAUGCCAGUCGAACGAGACCUUCGGGUCUAGUGGCGCACGGGUGCGUAACGCGUGGGAACCUGCCCUUAGGUUCGGAAUAACUCCCCGAAAGGGGUGCUAAUACCGGGUAAUGUCUUCGGACCAAAGAUUUAUCGCCUUUGGAUGGGCCCGCGUUGGAUUAGCUAGUUGGUAGGGUAAAAGCCUACCAAGGCGACGAUCCAUAGCUGGUCUGAGAGGAUGAUCAGCCACACUGGGACUGAGACACGGCCCAGACUCCUACGGGAGGCAGCAGUGGGGAAUAUUGGACAAUGGGCGAAAGCCUGAUCCAGCAAUGCCGCGUGAGUGAUGAAGGCCUUAGGGUUGUAAAGCUCUUUUACCCGGGAUGAUAAUGACAGUACCGGGAGAAUAAACUCCGGCUAACUCCGU